Molecule: non-coding RNA, 29 nt
Filed under: Mus musculus (house mouse)
Lineage: Eukaryota; Metazoa; Chordata; Mammalia; Rodentia; Muridae
Source: RNAcentral
UGUUACAUGAAGGAAAGGGCUGCACAUGU